This 109-nucleotide small nuclear RNA is filed under the name Amborella trichopoda. The record is from RNAcentral. Lineage: Eukaryota; Viridiplantae; Streptophyta; Magnoliopsida; Amborellales; Amborellaceae.
CCUUUUAUGUCUUCGGAAGCAUCCAAUACAAUUGGAAUGAUACAGAGAAGAUUAGCAUGGCCCCUGUGCAAUGACGACACGCACGAAUCAAGAAAUCAUCCAAAUUUAC